CCAACGGGUGGCAGCAGUAGGGAAUAUUGGUCAAUGGGCGCAAGCCUGAACCAGCCAUGCCGCGUGAGUGAUGAAGGCCUUCGGGUCGUAAAACUCUUUUCUGAGGGAAGAACAUCCUGCGUAGGAAAUGACGCGGGCUUGACGGUACCUCAGGAAUAAGCAACGGCUAACUCCGUGCCAGCAGCCGCGGUAAUACGGAGGUUGCAAGCGUUGUUCGGAAUAACUGGGCGUAAAGGGAGCGCAGGCGGUUGGGCAAGUCCAAAGUGAAAGCCCGGGGCUCAACUCCGGAAGGGCUUUGGUGACUGCCUGACUCGAGUUCGUGAGAGGAAAGCGGAAUUCCAGGUGUAGCGGUGAAAUGCGUAGAUAUCUGGAGGAACACCGGUGGCGAAAGCGGCUUUCUGGCACGAUACUGACGCUGAGGCUCGAAAGCGUGGGGAGCAAACA
Molecule: ribosomal RNA, 444 nt
Filed under: uncultured prokaryote
Description: bacterial SSU rRNA
Rfam family: Bacterial small subunit ribosomal RNA
Source: RNAcentral